This is a non-coding RNA of Drosophila persimilis, 171 nucleotides long. The record is from Rfam. Lineage: Eukaryota; Metazoa; Arthropoda; Insecta; Diptera; Drosophilidae.
GACUAGCUACACUAUGUGAGAGAGACGCUGCUACUAGCAAAUGUGAUAGUAUAACAUCGUGUGUAACUGAGUGGGUUUAGUACGUAUGCGUGAUACUCGUAAUCAUGAAUCGUGCAUGCUAGUGGGGUUUGACUCCACUAGUAUCUUGAAGAUUCUCCUUCCUCAGCGAUC